RNAcentral lists this ribosomal RNA (520 nucleotides) under uncultured Glomus. RNAcentral describes it as "SSU rRNA". It matches the Rfam family "Eukaryotic small subunit ribosomal RNA", at positions 569 to 1091 of the family's 1831-position model. Lineage: Eukaryota; Fungi; Glomeromycota; Glomeromycetes; Glomerales; Glomeraceae. The record is from RNAcentral.
AGCAGCCGCGGUAAUUCCAGCUCCAAUAGCGUAUAUUAAAGUUGCUGCAGUUAAAAAGCUCGUAGUUGAAUUUCGGGACUAAUAUGUCGGUCGUGCCUCGGUACGUACUGGUAUUUUUGGUUUCUCCCUUCUGACGAACCUUGAUGUCAUUAAUUUGGUGUCUUGGGAAAUCAGGACUGUUACUUUGAAAAAAUUAGAGUGUUUAAAGCAGGCUUACGCUUGAAUACAUUAGCAUGGAAUAAUGAAAUAGGACGUUUGAUUCUAUUUUGUUGGUUUCUAGGAUUGACGUAAUGAUUAAUAGGGAUAGUUGGGGGCAUUAGUAUUCAAUUGUCAGAGGUGAAAUUCUUGGAUUUAUUGAAGACUAACUACUGCGAAAGCAUUUGCCAAGGAUGUUUUCAUUAAUCAAGAACGAAAGUUAGGGGAUCGAAGACGAUCAGAUACCGUCGUAGUCUUAACCAUAAACUAUGCCGACUAGGGAUCGGAUGAUGUUAAUUUUUAAUUGACUCAUUCGGCGCCUUAC